This 235-nucleotide long non-coding RNA is filed under the name Homo sapiens (human). Its description in RNAcentral is "HSALNT0271988". The record is from RNAcentral. Lineage: Eukaryota; Metazoa; Chordata; Mammalia; Primates; Hominidae.
AGUUGGUUUCACAAUGGACUGUACCACCAUCCAGGGACAUGGUCACAUUUAAUUUCUCAAAGCUGAAGGAAAUAUGAUGGUCAGGAUAUGAAGAAGAAAACAAUAAAAAAAUCAUGUCUAGCAAGAACAGAGGUCACCUCCAAUGGAGACACUUCAGGAAUUGCUCGGGAAAGAACAUCAAGUGGUCAAACAGGAGGAUAUAUGUGGUUCAAGCUACAGAAACAGCAACAGGCUG